RNAcentral lists this long non-coding RNA (1064 nucleotides) under Chinchilla lanigera (long-tailed chinchilla). RNAcentral describes it as "lncRNA (ENSCLAG00000025060.1)". The record is from RNAcentral. Lineage: Eukaryota; Metazoa; Chordata; Mammalia; Rodentia; Chinchillidae.
AGAGAAAUGACUUUGCAGGUGGAUUCAGUCUCGGGAGGGACACUUCCAAGUUUGACUUGGGAAUCCACCUCCCUAGUCCCUUCCAGGGAAUUCCUUCUGUCCCAUUGUUCACGGCCUUGGUGGGAGGGGAGAGCCAGGGGUCUCUGUCUAUCUAUAAAUGCUGGAGGGCCACACUCUUAGCCAGUGUUCACCGUGGGAACUCUGAGAUAUGGGUUAGAAUAAGUCUCACAGGAUACUCGCAGGCAUAUGGGUCAAACAGAUCCUAUGGGCCCCAAGACCAAGCCUGUGGAUUCCACAUUCCAUCUUGAGGCUACACUGCUUUGGUUCCUGCCCUUUUUCCAAGAAUAGACCCACAGCCACCCACCACUUACCCUUCCAGUGAAAGGCCUUUAACAUAAUUUUUUUGCUUUCAACUAGAGUCUGGAAAGGCAAUCCCCCAGCAGGGAAGAUGUAGGUGGGGUAAGGGGCUUUCUCCAUGGCAUCACAGGAUCACCCGCUGUGGCCAAGACUGUUCCCGUCGGAAUCCCCAGAGCCUAAAACGCAGGGCAGAAGAGGAUAUUACCUCCCAUCACAGGCACACUCUUUCCUGCCUGGGCCUGUGAAGCACACCCAUGGGGCCAAGUCACCGGCUGCCUCUCCUCUCUCCCUGUGCCUGUCCUCAGCCCAGAGCCAGACAGAUGGUCCAGAGCCUGCACCGGUCUAGCGCUGUGGAAACUCAGAGAGUGCCUCACCGUGGCACCCGGGGCCAACAAAGAAGCUGUGGACCCACAUUUCUCCUGAUACGUCAGCGUUUUCAAGUCUCUACCAACCAAGGCAGGCCUGGGGACAUCUGUGAUCCCAGCCCUCUGGGAGGCUGCACCAGGAGGAUCACAAGUUCAAGUCCAACCUGAGCAACUUAGCGAUGUAGUGAGACCCUGUCUCCAAAUAAAAAAUACAAAAACAAAGCCUGGGGAUGUAGCUCAGUGCAAAGGCUCUGGGUUCUGUCCCCAGAUCAUAUGAUUUUGAGAUCAUUCAUAUAUAUAUACAUAUAUAUAUGAUUUCCACCAAUGAAAUGGGUACACCAG